This 254-nucleotide ribosomal RNA is filed under the name uncultured bacterium. RNAcentral's name for it is "partial 16S ribosomal RNA". It matches the Rfam family "Bacterial small subunit ribosomal RNA", at positions 524 to 775 of the family's 1533-position model. The record is from RNAcentral.
UACGUAGGUGGCAAGCGUUGUCCGGAUUUACUGGGCGUAAAGAGCGCGCAGGCGGUCGAGUAAGUCGAAUGUGAAAGCCCCCGGCUUAACUGGGGAGGGUCAUUCGAUACUGUUCGACUUGAAGGCAGGAGAGGGCAGCAGGAAUUCCCGGUGUAGUGGUGAAAUGACGUAGAUAUCGGGAGGAAUACCAGUGGCGAAGGCGGCUGCCUGGCCUGUUCUUGACGCUGAGGCGCGAAGGCUGGGGGAGCAACGGG